GCUUUUAGCCCUUCUUUCUUGGUUGUGACUUUGUAUAUUUGUGCCAGAUAAACUGAUUUAGGCUUUGAUUAUAGCCUUUUUAUCCUCCUAAGGAUUUCUUCAUUUAUGAGUCCUUUUGGAGGGAGCUCGGCCUCUUUCAUUGGCCUUUUAUACUUUCAGCUUUUGAGGAUGUAAGUCUAUCCGUGCUGGGAGCUCGGUCUCUUGCUUUGUAGCUAAACUUUUAUUGUUAGCAUCU
Molecule: long non-coding RNA, 235 nt
Filed under: Manihot esculenta (cassava)
Lineage: Eukaryota; Viridiplantae; Streptophyta; Magnoliopsida; Malpighiales; Euphorbiaceae
Description: long non-coding RNA (MESC_LNC011984)
Source: RNAcentral